CUUUGUUUAAACUGCUUUUGCAUCUUCCAUCUCACCCUCUCUGUGUUCCAUCAAGGUUUCCUCAUGUGGUUCUCUCAUGGGCUCCUCUGUGCUCUCUGCCCACAGCCUCCUGGAGGUGCCAUACUGACUGCAGGGCUCGAGCCAUUUAAAGUUUCUCUGAAAUAGAAAUGCAGAUGGGAAACCAAGCAGCUGGGGCUUACUGAGGAGUCAGGGAGUCUGUUGCAGGUAAUGGAUUCACAGUUCCCAAACACCAGUCCAGCACCACUGCCAUAAUACCCUCUUCUUCAUGCAGUUCAGAUGAAAAAUACAGAUGAUAAAUUGUACUCCUACAUACCAAGGGAUGGUGGGGGUCCUCAGAGACCGAGCGUUU
This 370-nucleotide long non-coding RNA is filed under the name Junco hyemalis (dark-eyed junco). RNAcentral's name for it is "lncRNA (ENSJHYG00000009419.1)". The record is from RNAcentral. Lineage: Eukaryota; Metazoa; Chordata; Aves; Passeriformes; Passerellidae.